GAUUUUGCAACAACACCCCAACAAACAUGGGUAUUUAGGUUAUGUUGCUAUUCAAAAUUACAUAAAAAGUAUGCAAUAAACUGACUCUUCGAAUAGCCCAGGCUACUUUGGACUUGAGACUGAAUAAACAAACGACAAUUCCGACUCCAAGGUCCCAAAUCGAAACGAGCGAUAGGCUAUGGUCUCAUAUUUAACAACAUUUCAGAAGACACACACAGCUAGACAACGAGUGGCAGACAGAGCGACGCCACUUAUGCUACCAAAGACUGUUUUCGAGUCUAAUCGUUGCAAAUCUCAUAUGAUGAUGCAUCUUUCUACAAAAUGGUUUGUCUUCAAUAUCGUUAAGCAAUUCAAUAGGCUAAACAG
This is a long non-coding RNA of Alosa sapidissima (American shad), 366 nucleotides long. RefSeq lists it as uncharacterized. The transcript has 3 exons. The record is from RefSeq and is a predicted model, not a curated record. NCBI's taxonomy places the organism in Eukaryota, Metazoa, Chordata, Actinopteri, Clupeiformes, Clupeidae.